Long non-coding RNA from Cyprinus carpio carpio, 806 nucleotides. Lineage: Eukaryota; Metazoa; Chordata; Actinopteri; Cypriniformes; Cyprinidae. The record is from Ensembl.
CGCUCACCACCCCGAGAGCCCACCACCGUCACCGUAAUCCACACCCAGGCACUGACCGAAGCAUCUCCCAGCCAUCGCAGGAUCCUCUGGGCUGAACGCCGCAUGUGAUGUCCCUAUGAAAGGAGGUGGACACAAGAAUUAUUCUUUUCCUGGUUACAACCGAAGCAUCUCCCAGCCAUCGCAGGAUCCUCUGGGCUGAACGCCGCAUGUGAUGUCCCUAUGAAAGGAGGUGGACACAAGAAUUAUUCUUUUCCUGGUUACAACCGAAGCAUCUCCCAGCCGUAAGCCCCAUUACUUAUUCUAGAACACAUACUUACUGUUGGUUACUUACUCUGCGGUGCAGAUCGCAGGAUCCUCUGGGCUGAACGCCGCAUGUGAUGUCCCUAUGAAAAGAGAUUGCAGGAUCCUCUGGGCUGGACGCUGCAUGUGAUGUCCCUGUAAAAGGAGGUGGACACGAGAAUUAUUCCUUUUCCCGGUCUCGACCGAAACAUCCACGAGCUCUACUUACCCGGAUAUCCCCCCCUCAUUCCGGGACGGGUGACAGACUAUCCUGGCUCUUGCCGGCCCCGUACAGGCACGAACUGCCGACGACUCCACGCCUCCCCGGCGUCCGAGGUCUGGCUUCGUUCUGGUCGGGAGACACGGAAGGAACACUGAACUUUUAAAUUGCUUUUAACCAAAUAAAACCUUGUUCAAUUUUUUUUAUACUCUCGUCCGUCUGGUUCUUCUGGUACGCUCUCUGAGGUGAUCCUGGGUUUCAGGGGCGGGUGCAGUCCGGCUUGGCCCCCCCGACCUGUGACAUUUGC